AGUGAACGCUGGCGGUAGGCCUAACACAUGCAAGUCGAACGGCAGCACAGUAAGAGCUUGCUCUUACGGGUGGCGAGUGGCGGACGGGUGAGGAAUACAUCGGAAUCUACUUUUUCGUGGGGGAUAACGUAGGGAAACUUACGCUAAUACCGCAUACGACCUACCGGUGAAAGCAGGGGAUCUUCGGACCUUGCGCGAUUGAAUGAGCCGAUGUCGGAUUAGCUAGUUGGCGGGGUAAAGGCCCACCAAGUCGACGAUCCGUAGCUGGUCUGAGAGGAUGAUCAGCGACACUGGAACUGAGACACGGUCCAGACGCCUACGGGAGGCAGCAGUGGGGAAUAGUGGACAAUGGGCGCAAGCCUGAUCCAGCCAGACCGCGUGUGUGAAGAAGGCCUUCGGGUUGUAAAGACCUUUUGUUGGGAAAGAAAAGCAGCAGGUUAAGACCCCGCUGUUCUGACGGUACCCAAAGAAUAAGCACCGGCUAACUUCGUG
This 492-nucleotide ribosomal RNA is filed under the name uncultured bacterium. RNAcentral's name for it is "partial 16S ribosomal RNA". It matches the Rfam family "Bacterial small subunit ribosomal RNA", at positions 29 to 507 of the family's 1533-position model. The record is from RNAcentral.